RNAcentral lists this transfer RNA (77 nucleotides) under Chloroflexota bacterium. Its description in RNAcentral is "Chloroflexi bacterium tRNA-Val". It matches the Rfam family "tRNA". From Rfam's summary of the family: Transfer RNA (tRNA) molecules are approximately 80 nucleotides in length. Their secondary structure includes four short double-helical elements and three loops (D, anti-codon, and T loops). The record is from RNAcentral. RNAcentral also lists the same sequence under 1 other name. Lineage: Bacteria; Bacillati; Chloroflexota.
GGGCGCAUAGCUCAGCUGGACAGAGCGCACGGUUCACAUCCGUGAGGUCGGGGGUUCAAGUCCCUCUGCGCCCACAA